Molecule: ribosomal RNA, 254 nt
Filed under: uncultured bacterium
Lineage: Bacteria
Description: partial 16S ribosomal RNA
Rfam family: Bacterial small subunit ribosomal RNA
Source: RNAcentral
UACGAAGGGGGCUAGCGUUGUUCGGAUUUACUGGGCGUAAAGGGUGCGUAGGCGGGUCUUUAAGUCAGAGGUGAAAUCCUGGAGCUCAACUCCAGAACUGCCUUUGAUACUGAGGGUCUUGAGUAUGACAGAGGUGAGUGGAACUGCGAGUGUAGAGGUGAAAUUCGUAGAUAUUCGCAAGAACACCAGUGGCGAAGGCGGCUCACUGGGUCAUUACUGACGCUGAGGCACGAAAGCGUGGGGAGCAAACAGGG